GGGGAAUAUUACACAAUGGGCGAAAGCCUGAUGCAGCAACGCCGCGUGAACGAUGAAGGUCUUCCGAUCGUAAAGUUCUGUUGCAGGGGAAGAUAAUGACGGUACCCUGUGAGGAAGCCCCGGCUAACUACGUGCCAGCAGCCGCGGUAAUACGUAGGGGGCUAGCGUUAUCCGGAUUUACUGGGCGUAAAGGGUGCGUAGGUGGUCCUUCAAGUCGGUGGUUAAAGGCUACGGCUCAACCGUAGUAAGCCGCCGAAACUGGAGGACUUGAGUGCAGGAGAGGAAAGUGGAAUUCCCAGUGUAGCGGUAAAAUGCGUAGAUAUUGGGAGGAACACCAGUAGCGAAGGCGGCUUUCUGGACUGCAACUGACACUGAGGCGCGAAAGCGUGGGUAGCAAACAGGAUUAGAUACCCUGGUAGUCCACGCUGUAAACGAUGAGUACUAGGUGUCGGGGUUACCCCCCUCGGUGCCGC
Molecule: ribosomal RNA, 473 nt
Filed under: uncultured bacterium
Lineage: Bacteria
Description: bacterial SSU rRNA
Rfam family: Bacterial small subunit ribosomal RNA
Source: RNAcentral